AGUCAAUAGAUACCCCGGUACGUCCACGCCGUAAACGAUGAGUACUAGGUGUAGGAGGUAUCGACUCCUUCUGUGCCGCAGUUAAACACAAUAAGUACUCCGCCUGGGAAGUACGGUCGCAAGAUUAAAACUCAAAGGAAUUGACGGGGGCCCGCACAAGCAGCGGAGCAUGUGGUUUAAUUCGAAGCAACGCGAAGAACCUUACCUAGACUUGACAUCUCCUGAAUAGUGUAGAGAUACAUGAAGCCCUUCGGGGCAGGAAGACAGGUGGUGCAUGGAUGUCGUCAGCUCGUGUCGUGAGAUGUUGGGUUAAGUCCCGCAACGAGCGCAACCCUUAUUACUAGUUGCUACCAUUAAGUUGAGCACUCUAGUGAGACUGCCCGGGGUUAA
RNAcentral lists this ribosomal RNA (390 nucleotides) under uncultured bacterium. RNAcentral's name for it is "bacterial SSU rRNA". It matches the Rfam family "Bacterial small subunit ribosomal RNA", at positions 775 to 1161 of the family's 1533-position model. The record is from RNAcentral.